This 683-nucleotide long non-coding RNA is filed under the name Anser brachyrhynchus (Pink-footed goose). RNAcentral's name for it is "lncRNA (ENSABRG00000010072.1)". Lineage: Eukaryota; Metazoa; Chordata; Aves; Anseriformes; Anatidae. The record is from RNAcentral.
UGGGAGGGCUGCUGCCCUGCAGCCGUUCCCCGCAGCGAGGCUGCUGCUGCUCCCCCCGGGCUGCCCGGGAGGGGGGUCCCCGGGCGGGGGUGCGGAGCUGCCGAGCCCCGCGGCCGUGCAUCUCCAGCAAUUUUAAUUAAGAGUCAGGGAUGCGCUCCGGAGCAAGCCCUCGACCCCUGGCUCUACAUGCCUACGGGUGAGGUUUUCCUCUGCCCUUGGCCGCGCACCUCGGGGAGAUGGAGAGCUCAGCUCGCUCCUGUGCGCCCUGGAGGCUACGCUCUGCUCCCGCAGGAGCCUCCGGCACCAAGCGGAGCCCAGCCUCGAGGCGAGGCCGAGCCUCCGAGCUGGCCUCGGGGCGGGGAGGCUCGCCCGGCCCCGGGAGGUGCCUGCCCCGGGUUGGUACCCCGGGCACAGCCUGGCACCCGGCGCUGUUUACCCAUGACUCAGGGCCAGGAUGCUUUUCUGCCAUCUUCAGUUGAAAUCUAAGCUACACAUUGAAGAUCAAUUUCUAGCCAACACACACCUUUUCCGAGCAAAUGAUUUUGGUCCCCAUUCAACAAAGUAAUAAUAAGAUAAUAUUUGCAGAGCCAUCUGAAACCAAUUUUCAAAAGCAGCUUAGACUAGGUGUACAAAGGUUCUUACACACCUAUGUCCAAAAUAUGGAUUCUCAAAACGCCUGUGCA